Non-coding RNA from Callithrix jacchus (white-tufted-ear marmoset), 283 nucleotides. The record is from RefSeq and is a predicted model, not a curated record. Lineage: Eukaryota; Metazoa; Chordata; Mammalia; Primates; Cebidae.
AAAAUUUCAGAGCCAGCAAAAGUAGACUUCUUCUGAGUCAGGUGGCCUACUUCCUGAACUACCAGCUGAAGAUCUACAGAGAUCGAAAAGAUCACGAUGAAGAACAGAAAUGCAGAGACAGCAAAAAUAAACUUCUUAUGAGUCAAGUGGCCUACUACCUGGGCUGCCGGCUGAAGACGGAAGUCCCUGGCUAUCUGUGUUCUGCCCCAAACAUCAGCACAGUGGCAUCUGGCAAGGCUCCUUCCAGAGAAAACACAGAGGUGAACGUUGCAGAUCCCAACAG